GACGAACGCUGGCGGCGUGCUUAACACAUGCCAGUCGAACGGUGAUGCUCCAGCUUGCUGGAGUGGAUCAGUGGCGAACGGGUGAGUAACACGUGAGCAACCUGCCCCAGACUCUGGAAUAAGCGCUGGAAACGGCGUCUAAUACUGGAUACGAAACUGGCCCGCAUGGGCAUGGUUUGGAAAGUUUUUCGGUUUGGGAUGGGCUCGCGGCCUAUCAGCUUGUUGGUGAGGUAAUGGCUCACCAAGGCGACGACGGGUAGCCGGCCCGAGAGGGCGACCGGCCACACUGGGACUGAGACACGGCCCAGACUCCUACGGGAGGCAGCAGUGGGGAAUAUUGCACAAUGGGCGAAAGCCUGAUGCAGCGACGCCGCGUGAGGGAUGACGGCCUUCGGGUUGUAAACCUCUUUCAGCAGGGAAGAAGCGAAAGUGACGGUACCUGCAGAAGAAGCACCGGCUAACUACGUG
RNAcentral lists this ribosomal RNA (468 nucleotides) under uncultured bacterium. Its description in RNAcentral is "partial 16S ribosomal RNA". It matches the Rfam family "Bacterial small subunit ribosomal RNA", at positions 28 to 507 of the family's 1533-position model. The record is from RNAcentral.